This 1126-nucleotide ribosomal RNA is filed under the name Burkholderia sp. OL748B. Its description in RNAcentral is "bacterial SSU rRNA". It matches the Rfam family "Bacterial small subunit ribosomal RNA", at positions 96 to 1220 of the family's 1533-position model. Lineage: Bacteria; Pseudomonadati; Pseudomonadota; Betaproteobacteria; Burkholderiales; Burkholderiaceae. The record is from RNAcentral.
UGGCGAACGGGUGAGUAAUACAUCGGAACGUGUCCUGUAGUGGGGGAUAGCCCGGCGAAAGCCGGAUUAAUACCGCAUACGACCUAAGGGGGAAAGCGGGGGAUCUUCGGACCUCGCGCUAUGGGGGUGGCCGAUGGCAGAUUACCUGGUUGGUGGGGUAAAGGCCUACCAAGGCGACGAUCUGUAGCUGGUCUGAGAGGGCGACCAGCCACACUGGGACUGAGACGCGGCCCAGACUCCUACGGGAGGCAGCAGUGGGGAAUUUUGGACAAUGGGGGCAACCCUGAUCCAGCAAUGCCGCGUGUGUGAAGAAGGCCUUCGGGUUGUAAAGCACUUUUGUCCGGAAAGAAAACUGCCACCCUAAUAAAUGGUGGUGGGAUGACGGUACCGGAAGAAUAAGCACCGGCUAACUACGUGCCAGCAGCCGCGGUAAUACGUAGGGUGCGAGCGUUAAUCGGAAUUACUGGGCGUAAAGCGUGCGCAGGCGGUCUGUUAAGACCGAUGUGAAAUCCCCGGGCUUAACCUGGGAACUGCAUUGGUGACUGGCAGGCUUUGAGUGUGGCAGAGGGGGGGUAGAAUUCCACGUGUAGCAGUGAAAUGCGUAGAGAUGUGGGGGAAUACCGAUGGCGAAGGCAGCCCCCUGGGCCAACACUGACGCUCAUGCACGAAAGCGUGGGGAGCAAACAGGAUUAGAUACCCUGGUAGUCCACGCCCUAAACGAUGUCAACUAGUUGUUGGGGAUUCGUUUCCUUGGUAACGUAGCUAACGCGUGAAGUUGACCGCCUGGGGAGUACGGUCGCAAGAUUAAAACUCAAAGGAAUUGACGGGGACCCGCACAAGCGGUGGAUGAUGUGGAUUAAUUCGAUGCAACGCGAAAAACCUUACCUACCCUUGACAUGGUCGGAACCCUGCUGAAAGGUGGGGGUGCUCGAAAGAGAACCGGUGCACAGGUGCUGCAUGGCUGUCGUCAGCUCGUGUCGUGAGAUGUUGGGUUAAGUCCCGCAACGAGCGCAACCCUUGUCCUUAGUUGCUACGCAAGAGCACUCUAGGGAGACUGCCGGUGACAAACCGGAGGAGGGUGGGGAUGACGUCAAGUCCUCAUGGCCCUUAUGGGUAGGGCUUCACA